Molecule: ribosomal RNA, 253 nt
Filed under: uncultured bacterium
Lineage: Bacteria
Description: partial 16S ribosomal RNA
Rfam family: Bacterial small subunit ribosomal RNA
Source: RNAcentral
UACGGAGGGGGCCAGCGUUGUUCGGAAUCAUUGGGCGUAAAGGGCGCGUAGGUGGCCGCGCAAGUCGGAGGUGAAAUCCCUCGGCCCAACCGAGGAACUGCCUCUGAAACUGCGCGGCUCGAGUCCCGGAGAGGGCAGUGGAAUUCCCAGUGUAGCGGUGAAAUGCGUAGAUAUUGGGAGGAACACCGGUGGCGAAGGCGGCUGCCUGGACGGGUACUGACGCUGAUGCGCGAAAGCUAGGGGAGCAAACGGG